RNAcentral lists this long non-coding RNA (1030 nucleotides) under Mus musculus (house mouse). RNAcentral describes it as "predicted gene, 19872". The record is from RNAcentral. Lineage: Eukaryota; Metazoa; Chordata; Mammalia; Rodentia; Muridae.
CGGGGCAGCGGGGCUGGGCUCCGGCCGGGAGUCAGACGAGGGAGCGCGCGCGCGCUCCCGGACAGUUCUCCGCAGCCGCUCGCCCGAGCCUUCUACUUGGCCAACACAGCUGCCUCUACCACCUCGCGUGCCCGGUUCGUGGGCUUUCAGCUCUGAGGAAGAAACCACCAUUCAAGUUGGAGUGCGGUUAACAUCAAAAGGAGAACGGUGAGAAUGGAGUCUCCCCAAAAUUACUCUGAGCAUCACAGCUGCGUUAGAACAACGGUCAGCAUGCAUACAAAAGGACCUAAACCACAUUCUCCUCGUCCCGGCCGGCCGUCACCCUAGAGCAAGCACAGUUCUUCCUUCAGCUCCUCUCCUGCUCACCAUGGCUCAGCUGAAAUCAUUGCCUAUGAGAUAACCACUCACGGUUUCCCAUCACCACAGUGUUCUCAUGGCCUGCCAAACGAGAACUUGCAGGCCUAGCAUGUAAAGGGACCAGGGAAGGAGGCAGAGUGGGGCCUGCUGUUGAGGCUGGCUGCUUCUGUGUUCUCUGCCUGUGCCAGGCUGCGUAUGGUCUUCACUUGCCGUCUUUGAACUGAGAGAACCUCAGCUGCUUCUGGAAUCCAUUUUGUCCGUAGAGUGGAUAGAAGCCCCUGAAUCGUAUUUCUGGAGGCAGCCCUACCCAGCCACUGCCAGGAAAUUACCAAGCAUGUCCUGAAGAUGAAGAUACUCUCAGCCUAACGUCUCCAAGCAAAUAUUGAUUCAGCAGUAUCCCCAGGCAAAGCCACACCAUAUAUCAGUGAACAGAGAAACAACUGCCCUUCUCCGGGCCCCUGUCUGAGAAGCUGGAGCAUCAGCCCUGGAGCUCUCCGGAGCAGUUUCCUUGCUCACUGUCCCCAGCUGAACACAGCCGCAUGCAGAGGUCCAAAGCACGUAAACAGGAUACCCACCCUGCAUUAUCUUAUAUUUUAAGUCAAUAUGAAGAUGGACAUUCUACCCCUGAGACCAAUUUCGAUCAAAUACUUUUGUCAAUAAAAAGAUACUAAUG